Small nucleolar RNA from Mangifera indica (mango), 107 nucleotides. The record is from RefSeq and is a predicted model, not a curated record. NCBI's taxonomy places the organism in Eukaryota, Viridiplantae, Streptophyta, Magnoliopsida, Sapindales, Anacardiaceae.
AAACCAUGACAGGGACACUGUCUUUGUAAAUCUUUAAACCUUUCCAAAACUUCAUAUAAGGACUCAUCAUCCCUUUGGUAAAAAUUAGCGAUCUUAUUUCUCAAUUA